AUUGAACGCUGGCGGAAUGCUUUACACAUGCAAGUCGAACGGUAGAGGGGGCAACCCCUUGAGAGUGGCGAACGGGUGAGUAAUAUAUCGGAACGUGCCCAGUCGUGGGGAUAACGUAGCGAAAGUUACGCUAAUACCGCAUACGAUCUAAGGAUGAAAGCGGGGGAUCGCAAGACCUCGCGCGAUUGGAGCGGCCGAUAUCAGAUUAGGUAGUUGGUGGGGUAAAGGCUCACCAAGCCAACGAUCUGUAGCUGGUCUGAGAGGACGACCAGCCACACUGGAACUGAGACACGGUCCAGACUCCUACGGGAGGCAGCAGUGGGGAAUUUUGGACAAUGGACGCAAGUCUGAUCCAGCCAUUCCGCGUGCAGGAUGAAGGCCCUCGGGUUGUAAACUGCUUUUGUACGGAACGAAAAGGUUUCUAUUAAUACUUAGGAGCUCAUGACGGUACCGUAAGAAUAAGCACCGGCUAACUACGUGCCAGCAGCCGCGGU
This 494-nucleotide ribosomal RNA is filed under the name uncultured bacterium. RNAcentral describes it as "bacterial SSU rRNA". It matches the Rfam family "Bacterial small subunit ribosomal RNA", at positions 30 to 521 of the family's 1533-position model. The record is from RNAcentral.